GAUGAACGCUGGCGGCGGGCCUAACACAUGCAAGUCGAACGGUAACGAAAUGAAUUCUUGCUUUGGCAGGAAGUGAGUGGCGAACGGUGGCGGAAGGGUUAGGAACCCUACACUAACCUGGGGCUUACCAAGGGAAAGCUCGGGGAAACCCGGAUUAAUACCAUUGAAAAUUGCGUCGAAGCAUUUCGAUGCUUUCAAAGCUACGACGGGAAGAGAUGGCCUCGCGUCGCAUUAACCAGAGGGGGUGGGAACGGCUCACCAUAGUAGCGAUGGGUACCCGGCCUGGGAGGGGGAACACUCACACUGGAACUGAGACACGGACCAGACUCCUACGGGAGGCAGCAGUGGGGAAUAUUGCACAAUGGAGCGGACUCUGAUGCAGCGACGCUGCGGGAGUGAUGAAGGAAUUCGAGUCGUAAAACUCUGUUCUAUGGGAAGAAAAUGACUGUACCAUAGGAGAAAGCUCCGGCUAAAUACGUG
This 480-nucleotide ribosomal RNA is filed under the name uncultured bacterium. RNAcentral's name for it is "partial 16S ribosomal RNA". It matches the Rfam family "Bacterial small subunit ribosomal RNA", at positions 28 to 507 of the family's 1533-position model. The record is from RNAcentral.